Anoplopoma fimbria (sablefish) is the source of this 149-nucleotide small nucleolar RNA. NCBI's taxonomy places the organism in Eukaryota, Metazoa, Chordata, Actinopteri, Perciformes, Anoplopomatidae. The record is from RefSeq and is a predicted model, not a curated record.
CUUCAGUGAUGAUACGAUGACGAGUCGGAACAGGACUCGUACUGUUCUGGGGGUGUCUGGAUCAGAUUCACGUUCUGUGGUUCUGCUCCAGUCCCUCAGAGCAGGGAGUCCUUUUAUUUGAAGACAUCCGAGGCAUUUGUCUGAGAAGG